GAUGAACGCUGGCGGCGUGCCUAAUACAUGCAAGUCGAGCGAACGGACGAGAAGCUUGCUUCUCUGAUGUUAGCGGCGGACGGGUGAGUAACACGUGGAUAACCUACCUAUAAGACUGGGAUAACUUCGGGAAACCGUAGCUAAUACCGGAUAAUAUUUUGAACCGCAUGGUUCAAAAGUGAAAGACGGUCUUGCUGUCACUUAUAGAUGGAUCCGCGCUGCAUUAGCUAGUUGGUAGGGUAACGGCUUACCAAGGCAACGAUGCAUAGCCGACCUGAGAGGGUGAUCGGCCACACUGGAACUGAGACACGGUCCAGACUCCUACGGGAGGCAGCAGUAGGGAAUCUUCCGCAAUGGGCGAAAGCCUGACGGAGCAACGCCGCGUGAGUGAUGAAGGUCUUCGGAUCGUAAAACUCUGUUAUUAGGGAAGAACAUAUGUGUAAGUAACUGUGCACAUCUUGACGGUACCUAAUCAGAAAGCCACGGUUAACUACGUG
RNAcentral lists this ribosomal RNA (497 nucleotides) under uncultured bacterium. Its description in RNAcentral is "partial 16S ribosomal RNA". It matches the Rfam family "Bacterial small subunit ribosomal RNA", at positions 28 to 507 of the family's 1533-position model. The record is from RNAcentral.